AGCUUUGCGCAGUGGCAGUAUCGUAGCCAAAGAGGUUUAUCCAAGGCACAAUUAUUUUUAAUUGAAAACUUUUCCCAAUACCCCGCCAUGACGACUUGAAAUACAGUCGGCAUUGGCAAUUUUUCACAGUCUCUAUGGAGA
RNAcentral lists this small nuclear RNA (141 nucleotides) under Cebus imitator (Panamanian white-faced capuchin). RNAcentral describes it as "U4 spliceosomal RNA (ENSCCAG00000006802.1)". It matches the Rfam family "U4 spliceosomal RNA". Rfam says of the family: U4 small nuclear RNA (U4 snRNA) is a component of the major U2-dependent spliceosome. The structure of U4 snRNA from yeast and human has been reported. The record is from Rfam by way of RNAcentral. Lineage: Eukaryota; Metazoa; Chordata; Mammalia; Primates; Cebidae.